AGCUAGGAGCCUCCUCCUGGAGAGAAGUCUUCCUGCACUUGCACUGCCAGCCCAGAGACAUAAAUGAGGCCUUUCCAAGUGCUCUGACUGGAUCGCUUUUGGUGCCCCAGGCUCGGUGACACAGUUUGCAAUGCCUCUUCUCCGCUGCUCUAGCAUUUUCCCUUGCAUGCACUUCAGCCUUAUCACAGAUGCAGCAGAACUAUUCCAAUAGGCAUAAAGGAAAAGAAGAAGCAAUGGCCCAGAAAAUGCCACACGGAAGCAGCUGUAACAACAUCAGUGGUGGUGUCCCAGGAGGGAAGGAUGAAUUUUUUUAGCAGAAGAGGUUAAGGGAGGUAGGUGUGAAACAAAGAAGAGCACAACUAUUCUUCAGACAAUGGUUCAGCUUGGGAACUGCUUGCCACAGGAUGCUGUCAAUGCUAGAAGUUUACACAGCGUUACGGGGGAACUGGACAAGCCCAUGGACAUAGACUCAUGGCUGCUGCUGGAGACCGGAUGUUGGCCUAAAUGGGUUUUUGAUGUGAGCUGCUGCAGCUGUCCCAAGGCUAUGAUGUUAUGAGGGACACUUACUGACAGCAGCUGAAGAUCUAACCCAUCAGCUGUUGGAAGUUCUCUUAGAUGCUAUAAGUUUUUUGUGGCACCAAGCGGUUUCCAGAGAUGCCUUUUCCCAGAAUGUCUUGCCCCUACAAAUAAAGCAUUCUGCAUGGUUCUAGCCACUUUAGACUGAGUCACUUGUUGGGAUUGCAGCUUAUGGAAGGGGUCAUUAAUGAGGGUAGCUGCACCACACUGGAAAAUCUUUUUUUUCCUCAGUAUACCCUUGAUAGUUCUAAAAUCUAAGAAAUGGGUUUCUACAAGUAAACAACAUCUGUGUGUUAUCAGUAUUAUCCACUUUCAGGAUGGAACACAUUCAUCUGUGUAAAGCUUGAAAACCCUCUCAGGACUAUUUCAAAUCCAUUUCCUAGGUAAAUUAAACAGAUACUUUUGCCCCAGCCCUACAUCCCACACUGAAUCCUGCAUUCACAAGGAAUCCCAGUGACCUCUCCGGGUCCAUAAAGGCUAACUGUACUGCAGUAUGGGUUUUUGAUGGGUACACUUCAAUUUUGUCACUUCUUCCUAAUGAGAAAAUGAAUUUUAAAUUGACAUCCAGGAAUGAAUCAAAAUGUAAAAAGGGUCUUAAAUGAAAAGGUGUUAAGUAUCCAUGUAAGCUCAAAUCAGAAAUCUAAAUUAUCAGAUGAGAAAUGCAGCUCUUGAAAACAAAAGCACCCCAGUAGAUUUAUUUAAAACAAAUACAUUUCUGUGUGAUUAAAAGAAAGACCUGGAGCUGAUGUAAAUAGUUUGGAAGCAAAAUAAACCACACUGUAAUCAUAUAUUAAGAAGAAAUAUGUGUGAAUCUCAAUGAUUUGUAGAAAUACAGUCCAAAUUUUAAAAAAAAAGUCAUCACAAUUUUACUACAAAUGGAAACUUUAUUUGAAAUAUUGCCAUGUUUAGGGAAAACACAAGGAAGACAAGGUAGGUGGCACUCCAAUUUUCAGCCUCGAUUCAACAGAGGGAAAUCUAUGACUAAAAAAAGCUGAAGUAUGCAAAUCAAUUGCUUUCCUGAAGCCUUUUUACUCAGGUGGGAGUUACUCAUCCUAGUAACGAUGUGUGAAUUAUUCCUUCAUCAGGCUGACUUGUGGAUUCACACAAUUUAAUCAAAUUGCGGCUCAAACUUAGACUGUAAUAUAAUUAUUUUCCAGCUAGUAAAUGGGAAAAAAAUCUUACCAUUUCCCCCCUAAGCCCACCGGUGAGUCAGUAGUUCUUCUGGUUCCCAUUUCAAAUUCCCUUUGCCUUCAUGCCUGCAAGAUGCUACUGGCUUUCAAUUAACUGGUAGUGCCUGGCUGCUCCAAGCGCACUCAGAGCCCGUUGCAAAUGCAAAGUAAAGCGGGUUUAUAAAAAGUCACCCAUGAAGAUUGGUUAAGCUGCCUGUUUGACUGCACGUUUGCAAUGGGCUAGGACCACGUGCACAAGCAGUCACUGUGAUUUGACUGACAGGCAAUUAAAUGUGCUAACUUGUGCUUGUGGGAACGUAUCAUUAAAGUGCCCUAGCCAGUAGUUCAGCACAUUAAAAAAUAUAUCGCGUCAACGUUGUGAUAAAAGUUUUAUUUUAUUGAUACUACAUGUAAAUGAAAAAUGUAGCCAUGUACUAAGUGUAAUUUUACAUCUUUUAUCCACGUCUUACUCAGCCUAGUUUCUUACCAUUAAGCUCUCUGUGUCUUCCUUCCAGUACCAAAUGUACUUCCAGCGAAGAAGACAUGAGAUAUUAUCACUUCUUUUAGGAUUUUUAUUAGCAUUCAGAGGAUCUCAGGACCACACAAGGAGGUCUUUGGCAAACAUCAAAUACAGUUUUCCACAAUGCUGGGUGGCUGCCUUUUUGAGAAUCUUUAGCUUCAGUUAUGAUCAACUGCUUGUGAAAACACAUUAAUAUGUAAGACCUGAAGUGCUGUGCUUUUCUGUCUCAACAAGUUAUUAAUUCAUUUUAGGGUGAGACUCCAUGUCUAGAUAAGAGAUCCACUCCUAACACGCAGUUACCUCUCCCUGCCUGAAUUCUUUCCAUCAAAGAACUAGGGAUAAAUUUGACUUCUUUUUUAUCACUGUGGGUGUGACAGCAAUCUGCAGAUUCAGUAAUAG
Molecule: non-coding RNA, 2664 nt
Organism: Phalacrocorax carbo (great cormorant)
Lineage: Eukaryota; Metazoa; Chordata; Aves; Suliformes; Phalacrocoracidae
Source: RefSeq, a predicted model, not a curated record